CAUUCUCUGCCUUGAGCGACAGCGCGCAAAACAUUUCGCCUUGUCCCUUAAGAACGACACCGGGUUGGCAAUGUUGCCCGGCGAGCAUGUCCGCCACGCAGCGGAAAGCCCAACGGCAACCCAGCCAUCCCACUUGAACCCCGGGUUCAAGGUCGUUUCGCCGCAUCGCCACGGCGGAGAAUGU
This 184-nucleotide non-coding RNA is filed under the name Lysobacteraceae bacterium NML120232. RNAcentral describes it as "Xanthomonadaceae bacterium NML120232 6S RNA". It matches the Rfam family "6S / SsrS RNA". From Rfam's summary of the family: E. coli 6S RNA was the first non coding RNA to be sequenced, but its function was unknown until recently. It consists of 184 nucleotides that fold into an extended hairpin structure with a large single-stranded internal bulge. The record is from RNAcentral. Lineage: Bacteria; Pseudomonadati; Pseudomonadota; Gammaproteobacteria; Lysobacterales; Lysobacteraceae. RNAcentral also lists the same sequence under 1 other name.